GUUGAAAAGAGCAUGGACCAAAAAUAACAUAACAGGUGUGAUAACAUGCGCCUGGGGGUAUUGGACGGCGUGCUAUGCUGUAGGAGAGAGUGCCUCUUAACAUGAGGAAAGGUCUAUCGUAGUUACCUUAAGUAUGUUGGGUGAUGGGUUGAGAGGAAGACUUAAAGAAAGUGAAAGAUGUAAUAUUACUUUUGUUCUUUUUAUUUAAAAAAAUGAUUACAUCUUUACUUUUAUAAUAUACAUAAAAAACUCACUUGUUUCUCCAUUAAUGAAGAGGAGUCCUACUCAUGGGUUGAAGUAUAAAGUUUAUUCAAUCCUAAACAUUGAUCGGAGUAACUAUUGA
Molecule: non-coding RNA, 343 nt
Organism: Lupinus albus (white lupine)
Lineage: Eukaryota; Viridiplantae; Streptophyta; Magnoliopsida; Fabales; Fabaceae
Source: the annotation of a GenBank genome assembly